CCCUUCGGGGUGAAGAUAAGACGGAUUAGCGGCGGACGGGUGAGUAACACGUGAGUAACCUGCCUUUUACACAGGGAUAGCCUCGGGAAACCGGGAUUAAAACCUGAUGAAACUAUCAAAUCACAUGAUUAAGAAAGUUAAAACUCCGGUGGUAAAAGAUGGACUCGCGUCCCAUUAGCUAGUUGGUGAAGGUAACGGCCCACCAAGGCAACGAUGGGUAGCCGGCCUGAGAGGGUGAACGGCCACAUUGGAACUGAGAAACGGUCCAAACUCCUACGGGAGGCAGCAGUC
Molecule: ribosomal RNA, 291 nt
Filed under: uncultured Peptoniphilus sp.
Lineage: Bacteria; Bacillati; Bacillota; Tissierellia; Tissierellales; Peptoniphilaceae
Description: partial 16S ribosomal RNA
Rfam family: Bacterial small subunit ribosomal RNA
Source: RNAcentral